Molecule: long non-coding RNA, 396 nt
Organism: Protopterus annectens (West African lungfish)
Lineage: Eukaryota; Metazoa; Chordata; Ceratodontiformes; Protopteridae
Exons: 4
Source: RefSeq, a predicted model, not a curated record
AGAAGAUAUAAUCGUAUUGGCGAUUGAAAACAAGGAAGCUGUACAAAUUUUGAAAAGAAAAUGUGCGUAGUGGACUUGUGCUUUGCAAAUUCGUUUUGGAAUGUGUUUCUCGUUCUUAUCUGACAUGUCCAGCCUUAUGAGUGACCGCAAGUAUAGAAGAGACAUCUAGCAUAUUUUUGCCUUAAGAUGCCUGAACUGAAGGUCACUCCCUUGGGUGCUGGCCAGGAUGUGGGCCGCAGCUGUAUACUCCUUACUAUCGGUGGGAAGAACAUCAUGUUGGACUGUGGAAUGCACAUGGGUUAUAAUGAUGAUAGGCGAUUUCCAGAUUUUUCUUACAUUACUCAAAAUGGGAGGCUGACUGAGUUUUUGGACUGCAUAAUAAUCAGGUAAACAUUU